GAAAAGCUAAUGGCUAACGGCAUCGAGCAGCUACAGGCAGGGAGCGGUGGGUCUAGCGUCUGUCCUUUUUCUGUAAUCUCAUACACCUGCGGGGAACAGCUGAUCGUUAUCGCCCUUCCAGCGGCGACAGGCAGGAAGCGGUGGAUCUAGCUCGCUGUAGGAGCCACAUCCCAGUUACCUACAUGCAAGGAGGCUGCCAAACAGAGAAAUCACUGCAGACUGUUGGUACACGGACAUCUGCUGCCCAGCUCAGGAGUAAAGUACCUUUUUGUUUUGAUGAGGUGAUGGUGAGGACAGCCACAGCUUCCAUCUGGUAGAGGACUGCUUCCGCUCAGUCUUCCAAAUAGUGAUGAGAACAAGGAUCACCACAUCUCCCUGUUUACCCUACUUUCAUGCAUUUCGUCUGCAAGGCCCUGCAAAAGCUUCUCCUUCGUCCUCAAACCCCCAGACUUCUUAAUUAACUCAGUAACCUAUACAUUGCACAUUGGAGUGUGAAGGUAACAGUUUGUUCUAGCUUUGGAGUAGUGGUGCAUUUUUUUGGUUUACAAUAAAGUUGGCUUUAACUAUUA
This is a long non-coding RNA of Betta splendens (Siamese fighting fish), 569 nucleotides long. RefSeq lists it as uncharacterized. The transcript has 3 exons. NCBI's taxonomy places the organism in Eukaryota, Metazoa, Chordata, Actinopteri, Anabantiformes, Osphronemidae. The record is from RefSeq and is a predicted model, not a curated record.